This 136-nucleotide small nucleolar RNA is filed under the name Carlito syrichta (Philippine tarsier). RNAcentral describes it as "U8 small nucleolar RNA (ENSTSYG00000033484.1)". It matches the Rfam family "U8 small nucleolar RNA". Rfam says of the family: U8 is a member of the C/D class of snoRNA which contain the C (UGAUGA) and D (CUGA) box motifs. U8 is the RNA component of a small complex (the U8 snoRNP) which is required for accumulation of mature large subunit ribosomal RNAs, 5.8S and 28S rRNAs. The record is from Rfam by way of RNAcentral. Lineage: Eukaryota; Metazoa; Chordata; Mammalia; Primates; Tarsiidae.
UCAUCAGGUGGUAUAAUCCUUACCUGUUCCUCCUUUUGGAGGGUAGAUUAGAGCAUGAUCAUUGGAGUUUGCAUGUUACGUGAUUAGCAUCUCUGUGUAAUCAGGAUUUGUAAUGACCUGAUUGUGCCAAUUGGAU